GCAUUGGUGGUUCAGUGGUAGAAUUCUCGCCUCCCAUUCGGGAUACCUGGUUCCGAUUCCCGGCCAAUGCA
Non-coding RNA from Danio rerio (zebrafish), 71 nucleotides. The record is from Rfam. Lineage: Eukaryota; Metazoa; Chordata; Actinopteri; Cypriniformes; Danionidae.